This 467-nucleotide ribosomal RNA is filed under the name Staphylococcus epidermidis. RNAcentral's name for it is "bacterial SSU rRNA". It matches the Rfam family "Bacterial small subunit ribosomal RNA", at positions 1 to 456 of the family's 1533-position model. Lineage: Bacteria; Bacillati; Bacillota; Bacilli; Caryophanales; Staphylococcaceae. The record is from RNAcentral.
UUUUAUGGAGAGUUUGAUCCUGGCUCAGGAUGAACGCUGGCGGCGUGCCUAAUACAUGCAAGUCGAGCGAACAGACGAGGAGCUUGCUCCUCUGACGUUAGCGGCGGACGGGUGAGUAACACGUGGAUAACCUACCUAUAAGACUGGGAUAACUUCGGGAAACCGGAGCUAAUACCGGAUAAUAUAUUGAACCGCAUGGUUCAAUAGUGAAAGACGGUUUUGCUGUCACUUAUAGAUGGAUCCGCGCCGCAUUAGCUAGUUGGUAAGGUAACGGCUUACCAAGGCGACGAUGCGUAGCCGACCUGAGAGGGUGAUCGGCCACACUGGAACUGAGACACGGUCCAGACUCCUACGGGAGGCAGCCGUAGGGAAUCUUCCGCCAUGGGCGACAGCCUGACGGAGCAACGCCGCGUGCGUGAUGAAGGUCUUCGGAUCGUAAAACUCUGCUAUUCGGGAAGCACAAAUGU